CCUACGGGGGGCAGCAGUGGGGGAUAUUGCACAAUGGGGGGAACCCUGAUGCAGCGACGCCGCGUGGGUGAAGAAGCGCCUCGGCGCGUAAAGCCCUGUCAGCAGGGAAGAUAAUGACAGUACCUGUAGAAUAAGCUCCGGCUAACUACGUGCCAGCAGCCGCGGUAAUACGUAGGGAGCAAGCGUUAUCCGGAUUUAUUGGGUGUAAAGGGUGCGUAGACGGGAAGGCAAGUUAGUUGUGAAAUCCCUCGGCUUAACUGAGGAACUGCAACUAAAACUAUCUUUCUUGAGUGCUGGAGAGGAAA
Molecule: ribosomal RNA, 305 nt
Filed under: uncultured bacterium
Lineage: Bacteria
Description: bacterial SSU rRNA
Rfam family: Bacterial small subunit ribosomal RNA
Source: RNAcentral